RNAcentral lists this ribosomal RNA (455 nucleotides) under uncultured bacterium. Its description in RNAcentral is "bacterial SSU rRNA". It matches the Rfam family "Bacterial small subunit ribosomal RNA", at positions 340 to 786 of the family's 1533-position model. The record is from RNAcentral.
UACGGGAGGCAGCAGUGGGGAAUAUUGCACAAUGGGCGCAAGCCUGAUGCAGCCAUGCCGCGUGUAUGAAGAAGGCCUUCGGGUUGUAAAGUACUUUCAGUCGUGAGGAAGGUGUUAAGGUUAAUAACCUUAGCAAUUGACGUUAGCGACAGAAGAAGCACCGGCUAACUCCGUGCCAGCAGCCGCGGUAAUACGGAGGGUGCGAGCGUUAAUCGGAAUUACUGGGCGUAAAGGGCACGCAGGCGGUUAAUUAAGUUGGAUGUGAAAUCCCCGGGCUUAACCUGGGAAUGGCAUUCAAGACUGGUUAGCUAGAGUCUUGUAGAGGGGGUAGAAUUCCAUGUGUAGCGGUGAAAUGCGUAGAGAUGUGGAGGAAUACCGGGUGGCGAAGGCGGCCCCUGGGACAAAGACUGACGCUCAUGUGCGAAAGCGUGGGGAGCAAACAGGGAUUAGAUACC